ACAGAAUUGUCUUGAGCAGAAGAUCCUGGCAACACGGUGAGCACCUAGGGAUUUAGGGAAGCCACUCUAGCACUCUGGCAUUGAUUGUCCUGGCAGGAGACAGAUGACAUCAGUUACUGGAGUUCCCUGCUACAAUGGAGAUACGGCCAAGCAGGCAAAAGCAAGCAGCAGAGAUGAGCCAGGGAGGAGGAGAGAGGCUGCAUUUCAUGAUCUGGUCAAAACCAGCCAUGGCACCCAGACAAAGACAGGUCAGCAAAGCUGGCUGGUGUGAGGUCACCAAGCCCCGUGCAGGUUGCUCCUCACAUACCUCUUGCAUCCACUCCUUCUUCUCCGUCGCAUGCCAC
This 344-nucleotide long non-coding RNA is filed under the name Homo sapiens (human). RNAcentral's name for it is "HSALNT0164981". Lineage: Eukaryota; Metazoa; Chordata; Mammalia; Primates; Hominidae. The record is from RNAcentral.